CCUGCAUGAAUGGCGUAACGAGAUGGGAGCUGUCUCAAAGAGGGAUCCAGUGAAAUUGUAGUGGAGGUGAAAAUUCCUCCUACCCGCGGCAAGACGGAAAGACCCCGUGGACCUUUACUACAGCUUGACACUGCUACUUGGAUAAGAAUGUGCAGGAUAGGUGGGAGGCUUUGAGUAUAUGACGCCAGUUGUAUAUGAGCCAUUGUUGAGAUACCACUCUUUCUUAUUUGGGUAGCUAACCAGCUUGAGUUAUCCUCAAGUGGGACAAUGUCUGGUGGGUAGUUUGACUGGGGCGGUCGCCUCCCAAAUAAUAACGGAGGCUUACAAAGGUUGGCUCAGAACGGUUGGAAAUCGUUCGUAGAGUAUAAAGGUAUAAGCCAGCUUAACUGCAAGACAUACAAGUCAAGCAGAGACGAAAGUCGGUCUUAGUGAUCCGGUGGUUCUGUGUGGAAGGGCCAUCGCUCAAAGGAUAAAAGGUACCCCGGGGAUAACAGGCUGAUCUCCCCCAAGAGCUCACAUCGACGGGGAGGUUUGGCACCUCG
This 542-nucleotide ribosomal RNA is filed under the name Salmonella enterica subsp. enterica serovar Montevideo. Its description in RNAcentral is "partial 23S ribosomal RNA". It matches the Rfam family "Bacterial large subunit ribosomal RNA", at positions 1987 to 2528 of the family's 2925-position model. Lineage: Bacteria; Pseudomonadati; Pseudomonadota; Gammaproteobacteria; Enterobacterales; Enterobacteriaceae. The record is from RNAcentral.